CCAGACUCUUACGGGAGGCAGCAGUGGGGAAUAUUGCACAAUGGGCGGAAGCCUGAUGCAGCAACGCCGCGUGCGGGAUGACGGCCUUCGGGUUGUAAACCGCUUUCGCCUGUGACGAAGCGUGAGUGACGGUAAUGGGUAAAGAAGCACCGGCUAACUACGUGCCAGCAGCCGCGGUGAUACGUAGGGUGCGAGCGUUGUCCGGAUUUAUUGGGCGUAAAGGGCUCGUAGGUGGUUGAUCGCGUCGGAAGUGUAAUCUUGGGGCUUAACCCUGAGCGUGCUUUCGAUACGGGUUGACUUGAGGAAGGUAGGGGAGAAUGGAAUUCCUGGUGGAGCGGUGGAAUGCGCAGAUAUCAGGAGGAACACCAGUGGCGAAGGCGGUUCUCUGGGCCUUUCCUGACGCUGAGGAGCGAAAGCGUGGGGAGCGAACAGGCUUAGAUACCCUGGUAGUCCACGCUGUAAACGGUGGGUACUAGGUGUGGGGUCCAUUCCACGGGUUCCGUGCCGUAGCUAACGCUUUAAGUACCCCGCCUGGGGAGUACGGCCGCAAGGCUAAAACUCAAAGGAAUUGACG
This 574-nucleotide ribosomal RNA is filed under the name uncultured bacterium. Its description in RNAcentral is "bacterial SSU rRNA". It matches the Rfam family "Bacterial small subunit ribosomal RNA", at positions 331 to 915 of the family's 1533-position model. The record is from RNAcentral.